AAUUCCAACCUCUUGGUGGUAAGCUGGCUUGUCCAAUUUCACCCUGAGAUUUAGUUUCUGAGGCUUCCCUGUGGUUAUGACCCAAAUAAGACUCCACAUAUUACAAUUUGAUCAAAAUUUCAAGAACACAUGCAAUUUAUUAAGUAUUCAAUAAGGGGAAACUAUUGAAAAUCAAUAAUAGCAGUGUAAUACAAACUCAUAAGUAAAAAAGUUCUUGUACCACCCAAACAGCCCAACAGAUGCCACGAUGCUGAUAAUACCCAAAAGAUUAAAACUUGCAUCCUUUGAGCAAAUAUUGGCCAAAUACAUCAGGAUUUUUCGUAUUAUCAAAAAUAGAUUUGGGUUUUAUUUCUCCAGUACCGAACUUAUUAAUUAAAACAAUAACAUCGAUACCAUUUUAUUUGAAAUAUACUCAAGUAGAUUGAUAGACAUAGAAAAAUGUGCUGAAAUUCUAUGAACUGUAUGUGUCAUAGUACAAGAUAAUGCUAGAAAACAAUUACCAGAAACUAGCAUAGAAAAAUUCCAAGAAAACCAUUUGAAUUAACACAAUUGGAGCUGUAAAUACUCAAAAGAUUAAAACUUGUACAUCAUAUAAGCAAAUCUUGGGCAAUGAAUAUCAUGCAUCAGAAUUUCAGCCUUUUAAUUUUCCUCCAAUACAAAUUAAUUAUAGCACGAAAUUUGUGUAAAAUGACAACAUCCAAAGCAAAUGGUGAAAAUUAAAUAAUAGCAGAAAGUAGUAUAGAAAAGUUACCAGUGAAGAAAAAGAGUGAAGAAGACGAUGAAAAAAGAAGCUUUCAAGAUCAUCCCUUUUCGGAGUACUAUGAAUUAAGUGCUAAGCAGAUAAAAGUGUUAAAAUUAAAGUGAUUUUUGAGUUAUGGGGGUUUGAAGAUUUAUAUGAUAAAAAUGAAAGAAUUUAAAUAUUAAUUACAUGGGGCCUGAAAAGGAAGUAAGGUGUAAAAGGUGAUGUCUGAAAAAGUAUGAUUGGGAAUUGCUGUUUGUCGGAGGAAGCGGCAAGUGUCAAAGGUGCUGUUGCGCUCUCUCUCUCUCAUGUCUUUUUUCUGUUACGCAUUCAGCACUAAAAGAGGCGCG
Molecule: long non-coding RNA, 1089 nt
Filed under: Nicotiana tabacum (common tobacco)
Lineage: Eukaryota; Viridiplantae; Streptophyta; Magnoliopsida; Solanales; Solanaceae
Description: long non-coding RNA (NTAB_LNC006166)
Source: RNAcentral